RNAcentral lists this long non-coding RNA (322 nucleotides) under Homo sapiens (human). RNAcentral describes it as "HSALNT0052614". Lineage: Eukaryota; Metazoa; Chordata; Mammalia; Primates; Hominidae. The record is from RNAcentral.
GGAAAUGCGGCCGGUGGAACAAGUUUCAAACAGGAAAGUGCUUGUGGGGUGACCUCUGGGGUCAGCCACAGAGCUUACUGCAGAUUCCACCAAAAAAGUAAGAAGAUCCAAAAGGGCAAGGCGUAGGGUCUGUCGGGCGGGUGUGUCCCAGUUUAAACAAAGCUGCUUUGAUGUGCUUCCCAGCGGGCAGGCACAGGAAUGCAAGGCCCUGCUCUGUCUUGCAGCCAAGAGGGAGUUAUAAACAUCCAUCUGCAAGGGAAGAUCCAUCAGCUCCUAUCAACCACACAGGAAAGAUUUACAGGUGAUGUGUGGACUGACCAGC